This 253-nucleotide ribosomal RNA is filed under the name uncultured bacterium. Its description in RNAcentral is "partial 16S ribosomal RNA". It matches the Rfam family "Bacterial small subunit ribosomal RNA", at positions 524 to 776 of the family's 1533-position model. The record is from RNAcentral.
UACGUAGGGUGCAAGCGUUGUCCGGAAUUAUUGGGCGUAAAGAGCUCGUAGGCGGUUUGUCGCGUCUGCUGUGAAAACUCGGGGCUUAACCCCGGGCCUGCAGUGGGUACGGGCAGACUAGAGUGCGGUAGGGGAGACUGGAAUUCCUGGUGUAGCGGUGAAAUGCGCAGAUAUCAGGAGGAACACCGGGGGCGAAGGCGGGGCUCUGGGCCGUAACUGACGCUGAGGAGCGAAAGCGUGGGGAGCGAACAGG